Molecule: ribosomal RNA, 282 nt
Filed under: Triticum aestivum (bread wheat)
Lineage: Eukaryota; Viridiplantae; Streptophyta; Magnoliopsida; Poales; Poaceae
Description: partial small subunit ribosomal RNA
Source: RNAcentral
AUGGAGGCGUACCAGAAAGUGCAGGAGUUCGACUUGUCCAGCGGCGCUGAUUGGAAGACGACCGCCAACGUCCUCUUCACGGUGCCCCCAAGCACAAGGAGUUCGGGAACCGGGCUUGGUGGCCAAUGGGGCCAGGAAGGUCCCAGAUCGGAGGUCCCUGCUUGCCAACUCGCAGUUAGUUUGCAUGAUACAAUAAAUCUGCUUGCAAGGCUCUGGAUGAUAUAUCCAUUUUCAUCAAUUGCUCAAGGGUGUGAGGAUGGCGAAGGAGGUGCAGGGAGCUGA